Molecule: ribosomal RNA, 472 nt
Filed under: uncultured bacterium
Lineage: Bacteria
Description: bacterial SSU rRNA
Rfam family: Bacterial small subunit ribosomal RNA
Source: RNAcentral
UGGGGAAUAUUGGACAAUGGGCGAAAGCCUGAUCCAGCCAUGCCGCGUGUGUGAAGAAGGUCUUCGGAUUGUAAAGCACUUUAAGUUGGGAGGAAGGGCAGUUACCUAAUACGUGAUUGUUUUGACGUUACCGACAGAAUAAGCACCGGCUAACUCUGUGCCAGCAGCCGCGGUAAUACAGAGGGUGCAAGCGUUAAUCGGAAUUACUGGGCGUAAAGCGCGUGUAGGCGGUUUGGUAAGUUGGAUGUGAAAUCCCCGGGCUCAGCCUGGGAACUGCAUUCAAAACUGACUGACUAGAGUAUGGUAGAGGGUGGUGGAAUUUCCUGUGUAGCGGUGAAAUGCGUAGAUAUAGGAAGGAACACCAGUGGCGAAGGCGACCACCUGGACUGAUACUGACACUGAGGUGCGAAAGCGUGGGGAGCAAACAGGAUUAGAUACCCAAGUAGUCCCUGAGCGGGCUGGCAAGGCGCAU